Long non-coding RNA from Haemorhous mexicanus (house finch), 2386 nucleotides. RefSeq lists it as uncharacterized. Lineage: Eukaryota; Metazoa; Chordata; Aves; Passeriformes; Fringillidae. The record is from RefSeq and is a predicted model, not a curated record. The transcript is spliced from 3 exons.
GAAGCUGAAAGACAAGGAAGUGGUCAGGCGAGAAUGAGGCAUGUAGUGAUGUGACCCUGCAAAACUGCCAUUGAUGAAAAUGCAUCACAGGACUCAGUAAACACAGUGUGCCCUUGGGCUCUCCAGCUGUCCUACAGCAAGGUGAUCUAUCCAGCCUUUCCUUAGCCACUGCUCUGUAAGGACAGCAGUGUGCCCUUGUGGCCCAGAAGCCCAAAGGAAUCCUGGAAGGCAUCAGGAAGAGGAUUUCCAGCAGGUGGAGAGAGGUGAUCCUGUCCUUCUUCUCAGUUCUGGUGAGACUGCAUCUGUGGUAAUAUUAUCCAGGUCUGGGCUUCUCACCACAAGAGACACAUGGAGCUCCUGGAGCAGGUCCAGCAGAGGGCUACAAAGAUCAUUAAGGGACUGGAGCAUCUCUGUUUCAAGGAAAGGCUGUGGGAGCUGGAUCUCUUCAGCCUCGAAAGGAGAUGACUGAGAGGGAACCUCACCAAUGUCUGUCAGUGUCUGAAGGGAGGGUGCCAAGAGGAUGCACCCAGCCUGUUCUCAGGGGUGCUGAGCACUAGGAUAAGAGGUGAUGGGCACAAACUGCUGUACAGGAAAUUCCACCUGAACAUGAGCAAGAACUUCACGGUGCAGUGACUAAGCACUGAAACAGAUUGUCCAGAGGCUGUGGAGUCUCUCUCACUGGAGAUAUUCAAGAGCUCUCUGAAUGCAAUUCUGUGCAGUAUGCUCUAGGAUGACCCUUCCAGCCUUUCCCAUUAUGUGAUUCUGUGUUUCUGUGAAAGAAAACCUAAACCUACCCCUUUAAGUACCUAGAACCAGGACAGCAUCCCCUUGGAAGGACGUGCCUCAGCGUUCCCAUCUAUUUCAGAGAAAUAAAACAGGUGUCUUCUGCAGGAAAUUCCAGGCAGAUGAGAAAAAUAUAUUGAAGACAAGUAAACAAUCCAUUAUUCUUCUUUAACCAUUUGGUAGAAUAGAAUAUCAGAAACUCUUUGGAAUUUCCAUGGACACAGGCACCAUGAGGCCACAGAUGAAAACAACUCCUUCCCAAUCAAAUCUUGUAACAAAUGGUCUCAGCUGAAAAAGGAACUAAAGAGCUCAUGGCAAAACACAAAACAUUUGGUCUUCAUAAAUGUAUAUUUUACCAUGGGUGCAACCUGGAAAACUGUAUGUCACAAACAGAAAAUUCACAGAAUGGAUGGGAAACAGGACCAGGAUAGUGAUAGACAUGUCUGGGCACCAGCAUUUUCCUUAUCAGCCUGUGCAGUGAAUUCUCUGAAGAAGCAGGGGAAGUUGGUCCAUGCUCCCCAUUUUACCUGAUCUGUUGUUGCUAUGGGAAAGGAGAAAAUGAGCUUUAUUGAGGGCAAAGAACAGGCAGAAGUGUGGAAUGUAUGCUGAACAAAGAAAACAUUCCCUGAGGGAAAUUUCUCACGUAAAACACCAGCACACAUAUCUUCCUUGUCUCCCGCUUAACAGGAUGGAUAGCCGAACCCAUACACUGAAAAGAGGUGUUUUCUUGCCAUCUUUCCCCCGAAGCCCCGGGAGCAGCGGGCGGUCCCGCGGGGACGGGGGUGGCACUCUCCAGGGUCCUGGACUGAAGGCUCGGCAGCGCUGCUGACUGGGUUGGGUCAGGAUCAUGGAACAAGAUCAUCGCUCUGACUUCACAGAUGACUGCAGAAGUACGAGGCUUUCACCAAGAGACCUCAACACUGUUUCUGCUUUUCUCUUUAGUAAGAAGAAUUAUUAAUUUAAGGGAGCAUAUGGCUCAUUUCUAAUCAGUUGUACAUUAGCACUUGGGAACGGGUUCUCUCACCACAAAAAACCCCCUGCUUUAUGAGAUAUGAAUUGCACAUAAGGAAAACUAGCUAAGGAAACUGAAACAAAUGAGAACAGACAAAGCAGUGGAUCUGAUCUGCAAAUCUGUGAAAUGGGAGUUCAAACUACAAUUGGACAAUUUAACACAGAAAAGAAGGUCACCCUCUUUCUGAAUGAGGAAGUGAGCAGAGAUUUGGGUGUAAUGUACUAAUGUUCACCCCUGCACACCAAAUGGGAGACUUUCAUUUGAACAUAUUUCUUCUUUAUUCAACAAAAUAAUUUAACUAGAGGAACUAAUACCUGGUAUAUCCCAAGGCAGAUGAGCUCUUUCUCUUGUGACUGGUGACUGUGGAUGUAAAAUUGAACUGUGGAGAAAUCAUUGGCUUCUGCUCUGAAAAUGAGCUAAAACCAGCAAAAAAAGAGUUGGACCUAUUUAACAAAAUAGCUACCAAAAUUAUGCCAGGAAAGAUGUGAGUGGAUGAGAUGCUUUCUUUCUAUUGCAAUUUGGUUGUGUGCCACGUUAAUUCCCAAAGGAAAUACCUUUUCUCAUUUUCUGAAUAAAAUUCUGUGUCCAGUA